This 482-nucleotide ribosomal RNA is filed under the name uncultured bacterium. RNAcentral describes it as "partial 16S ribosomal RNA". It matches the Rfam family "Bacterial small subunit ribosomal RNA", at positions 28 to 507 of the family's 1533-position model. The record is from RNAcentral.
GACGAACGCUGGCGGCGUGCCUAACACAUGCAAGUCGAACGGAACUGUUUUGAGAGAUUUCUUCGGAAUGAAGUUGAUUUAGUUUAGUGGCGGACGGGUGAGUAACGCGUGAUUAACCUGCCGUCAAGAGGGGAAUAACAUUCUGAAAAGAAUGCUAAUACCGCAUGACAUAUCGGAACCACAUGGUUUUGAUAUCAAAGAUUUUAUCGCUUGAAGAUGGACUCGUGUACGGUUAGUUAGGUGGUGAUGGAACGGCUCACCAAGACCGCGAUCGGUCGCAGGACUGCGAGGUCGCGCGGCCACCUUGGGCCUGAGACACGGCCCAGGAUUCUUCGGGAAGGAGCAGUAGGGGGUAUUGCGCAAUGCGCGCAAGUCUGAAGCAGCUACGCCGCGUGAAGGAUGAAGGUUUUCGGAGUGUAACCUUCUUUUAUUAAGGACGAAAAAUGACGGUACUUAAUGAAUAAGCUCCGGCUAACUACGUG